RNAcentral lists this ribosomal RNA (253 nucleotides) under uncultured bacterium. RNAcentral describes it as "partial 16S ribosomal RNA". It matches the Rfam family "Bacterial small subunit ribosomal RNA", at positions 524 to 776 of the family's 1533-position model. The record is from RNAcentral.
UACGGAGGGUGCAAGCGUUAUCCGGAUUCACUGGGUUUAAAGGGUGCGUAGGUGGGCUGGUAAGUCCGUGGUGAAAUCUCCAGGCUUAACUUGGAAACUGCCAUUGAUACUAUCAAUCUUGAAUACCGUGGAGGUCAGCGGAAUAUGUCAUGUAGCGGUGAAAUGCUUAGAUAUGACAUAGAACACCAAUUGCGAAGGCAGCUGGCUACACGAAUAUUGACACUGAGGCACGAAAGCGUGGGGAUCAAACAGG